Molecule: long non-coding RNA, 350 nt
Organism: Talpa occidentalis (Iberian mole)
Lineage: Eukaryota; Metazoa; Chordata; Mammalia; Eulipotyphla; Talpidae
Exons: 3
Source: RefSeq, a predicted model, not a curated record
CCACGCCCGGCUGCCCUUGGCGCUGCGGGGUGCACGCGGUAAAGAUUUCAUGAUAAAGUACUGUAACAGGGUGGUCCCCAGGAAAGAGGGAGGUUCCAGGUUUCCUGCCCCACCCAAAAGGAGGGUGGAGCUGAGCAGGGAGAGAAGAAGCUGCAGAGGAGACUGAGGAAAGAAGGAAGCAGGAUGGAGAGCCAGAAGGAGACCUGGAGGAGGCACAUGGAGCCAAGAGACACAUGAGGGCCCACCCAGCAAAAAUAUCCUAAAAAGACAGAGGUAAAAUUUUGCAUCCCUUAGAGUUUCUGGUGACGAGAAUGCAAUUCAGUGGCUAGGACAUUGAGAAAUCCUGGAAC